RNAcentral lists this ribosomal RNA (497 nucleotides) under uncultured bacterium. RNAcentral describes it as "partial 16S ribosomal RNA". It matches the Rfam family "Bacterial small subunit ribosomal RNA", at positions 28 to 507 of the family's 1533-position model. The record is from RNAcentral.
GAUGAACGCUGGCGGCGUGCCUAAUACAUGCAAGUCGAGCGAAAAGACGAGGAGCUUGCGGCGCUCUCGUUAGCGGCGGGGGGGUGUGAAACACGUGGAACACCUACUUAUAAGACUGGGAUAUCUUGGGGAAAGCGGAGCUAAUACGGGAUAAUAUCUUGAACCGCAGGGUGGGAUAGAGAGAGACGGUGUUGGGGGCUCUAAUAGAGGGAUACGCGCUGGAUUAGCUAGUUGGUAAGGUAAAGGGUUACGACGGGAAGUAGGCGUAGGCGAGCUGAGAGGGUGAUAGGCCACCCGGGAACUUAGCCGCGGUCCAGACGCCUACGGGAGGCAGCAGUAGGGAAUCUUCCGCAGUGGGCGAAAGCCUGACGGAGCAACGCCACGUGAGUGAUGAAGGUCUUCGGAUCGUAAUGCUCUGUUAUUAGGGAAGAACAAAUGUGUAAGUAACUAUACACGUCUUGACGGUACCUAAUCAGAAAGCCCCGGCUAACUACGUG